Molecule: long non-coding RNA, 444 nt
Filed under: Mytilus galloprovincialis (Mediterranean mussel)
Lineage: Eukaryota; Metazoa; Mollusca; Bivalvia; Mytilida; Mytilidae
Source: RNAcentral
GUUGUUUUGUUGCAUUUGCUGUGAUGUUAUUUAUGUGUUUGUUAAAUUUUAAAUCAGUUUGUAUUGUUAAGCCAAGAUAUUUAGUAGAUGUUUCUUGUUGCAAAGUGUGCCCAUGUAAGAUGUAGUCAUAUGGGAGAGGUGUUUUCUUUGUUGUUACUUGGAGGACUGAACACUUGUCCGGAUGGAAGGACAUGAGCCAGUCCUCUUCCCACUUUGCAGCUGCUGUUAGGUCUUCUUGUAAUUUUUUUGAGUCAUCUUUAUUUUUAAUGGUUUUGUAUAUGAUGCUAUCAUCUGCAAAAAGUCUAAGAGUGCCAUGUUUUAUAUAAUCAUUCAGAUCGUUUAUGUACACCAGGAAUAAGAUAGGACCAAGUACUGUUCCUUGAGGUACCCCUGAAGUGACAUGUAUUUGUUCAGAUUUGGUGCCUUCCAGUAAUACCGUUUGUG